RNAcentral lists this non-coding RNA (29 nucleotides) under Mus musculus (house mouse). The record is from RNAcentral. Lineage: Eukaryota; Metazoa; Chordata; Mammalia; Rodentia; Muridae.
UNGAAAGCACUCUUGCUUCCUUUCAGCCU